AGCUUUGUGUAUGGGCGGCAUCUUAGCCAAUGAGGUUUAUGUGAGGCAUGAUUAUUGCUAACUGAAAACUUUUCCCAUUUAGAUGUGGGUCAUUAUUGAUUUUUCUCAUCGAUAUUUCACUUUUCUCAAUUAUGCCCAUG
Octodon degus (degu) is the source of this 140-nucleotide small nuclear RNA. RefSeq annotates it as U4 spliceosomal RNA. The transcript has a single exon. Lineage: Eukaryota; Metazoa; Chordata; Mammalia; Rodentia; Octodontidae. The record is from RefSeq and is a predicted model, not a curated record.